This 550-nucleotide ribosomal RNA is filed under the name uncultured bacterium. Its description in RNAcentral is "bacterial SSU rRNA". It matches the Rfam family "Bacterial small subunit ribosomal RNA", at positions 355 to 896 of the family's 1533-position model. The record is from RNAcentral.
UANNNAAUCUUCGGCAAUGGGGGCAACCCUGACCGAGCAACGCCGCGUGAGUGAAGAAGGUUUUCGGAUCGUAAAGCUCUGUUGUAAGNGAAGAACGAGUGUGAGAGUGGAAAGUUCACACUGUGACGGUAACUUACCAGAAAGGGACGGCUAACUACGUGCCAGCAGCCGCGGUAAUACGUAGGUCCCGAGCGUUAUCCGGAUUUAUUGGGCGUAAAGCGAGCGCAGGCGGUUAGAUAAGUCUGAAGUUAAAGGCUGUGGCUUAACCAUAGUACGCUUUGGAAACUGUUUAACUUGAGUGCAGAAGGGGAGAGUGGAAUUCCAUGUGUAGCGGUGAAAUGCGUAGAUAUAUGGAGGAACACCGGUGGCGAAAGCGGCUCUCUGGUCUGUAACUGACGCUGAGGCUCGAAAGCGUGGGGAGCAAACAGGAUUAGAUACCCUGGUAGUCCACGCCGUAAACGAUGAGUGCUAGGUGUUGGGUCCUUUCCGGGACUCAGUGCCGCAGCUAACGCAUUAAGUANUCCGCCUGGGGAGUACGACCGCAAGGUUG